Molecule: long non-coding RNA, 1194 nt
Filed under: Citrus x clementina
Lineage: Eukaryota; Viridiplantae; Streptophyta; Magnoliopsida; Sapindales; Rutaceae
Description: Citrus clementina (C. clementina) long non-coding RNA (CCLE_LNC006139)
Source: RNAcentral
AUAGACACACAGGCACAGCCGCGCCCAAAAAUCAGCCCCCGAAGGUCGGGGUCCCAAGACCCCCCAGCGGAAAAAUGGCCAAAAAACGGGUGGGCUAUAGCCUUGGUGGCGGGAGUGGGCGAAGUUCGUCCGCGGGACUCGGAAUGGCACCAUACUUGGCGGGCGGCCUCCGUGUGCCAAAAAUAGACCACGGGCACGGCCGCGCCCAAAAAUCAGCCCCCGAAGGUCGGGGUCCCAAGACCCCCCAGCGGAAAAAUGGCCAAAAAAUGGGUGGGCUAUAGCCUAUGUGGGGGGCGUGGGCGAAGUUCGUCCGCCGGACUCGGAAUGGCCCCAGACUUGGCGGGCGGCCUCCGUGUGCCAAAAAUAGGCCACGGGCACAGCCGCGCCCAAAAAUCAGCCCCCGAAGGUCGGAGUCCCAAGAACCCCCCAGCGGAAAAAUGGCCAAAAAACGGGUGGGCUAUAGCCUUGGUGGGGGGCGUGGGCGAAGUUCGUCCGCGGGACUCGGAAUGGCCCCAGACUUGGCGGGCGGCCUCCGUGUGCCAAAAAUAGGCCACGGGCACAACCGCGCCCAAAAAUCAGCCCCCGAAGGUCGGGGUCCCAAGACCCCCCAGCGGAAAAAUGGCCAAAAGACGGGUGGGCUAUAGCCUUGGUGGGGGGAGUGGGCGAAGUUCGUCCGCGGGACUUGGAAUGGCACCAUACUUGGCGGGCGGCCUCCGUGUGCCAAAAAUAGGCGAAGUUCGUCCGCGGGACUCGGAAUGGCACCCGACUUGGCGGGCGGCCUCCGUUUGCCAAAAAUAGGCCACGGGCACAGCCGCGCCCAAAAAUCAGCCCCCGAAGGUCGGGGACCCAAGACCCCCCAGCGGAAAAAUGGCCAAAAGACGAGUGGGCUAUAGCCUUGGUGGGGGGAGUGGGCGAAGUUCGUCCGCGGGACUCGGAAUGGCACCAUACUUGGCGGGCGGCCUCCGUGUGCCAAAAAUAGGCCACGGGCACAGCCGCGCCCAAAAAUCAGCCCCCGAAGGUCGGGGACCCAAGACCCCCCAGCGGAAAAAUGGCCAAAAGACGGGUGGGCUAUAGCCUUGGUGGGGGGAGUGGGCGAAGUUCGUCCGCGGGACUCGGAAUGGCCCCAUACUUGGCGGGCGGCCUCCCUGUGCCAAAAAUAGGCCAGGGGCACAGCCGCCCCCAAAAAUCAGCCCC